UUUCGCAAUGCCCGAAAGGGUGACGAAGCGACGCCGCGUGGGUGAGGAAGGCCCUCGGGUUGUAAAGCCCUGUCAGGAGUUAAGAAAUGUAAGUGCGCUAAUAUCGCAUUUAUUUGACGAAGGCUCCAAAGGAAGUCACGGCUAACUCUGUGCCAGCAGCCGCGGUAAUACAGAGGUGGCAAGCGUUGUUCGGAAUUAUUGGGCGUAAAGAGCACGUAGGUGGGUUUGCAAGUCAGAUGUGAAAGCCUUCUGUUCAACGGAAGAAUUGCAUCUGAAACUGCGAGUCUUGAGUGUAGGAGGGGAGAAUGGAACUUCUGGUGGAGCGGUGAAAUGCGUAGAUAUCAGAAGGAACGCCGGCGGCGAAAGCGAUUCUCUGGCCUAUUACUGACACUCAGUGUGCGAAAGCUAGGGGAGCAAACGGGAUUAGAUACCCCGGUAGUCCUAGCCGUAAACGAUGGGCACUAAGUAGAGGGGUUUUA
This 479-nucleotide ribosomal RNA is filed under the name uncultured bacterium. RNAcentral describes it as "bacterial SSU rRNA". It matches the Rfam family "Bacterial small subunit ribosomal RNA", at positions 364 to 833 of the family's 1533-position model. The record is from RNAcentral.